GACGAACGCUGGCGGCGUGCUUAACACAUGCAAGUCGAACGCUGAAGCCUAGCUUUUGUUGGGUGGAUGAGUGGCGAACGGGUGAGUAACACGUGAGUAACCUGCCCCCUUCUUUGGGAUAACGCCCGGAAACGGGUGCUAAUACUGGAUAUUCACUGAUCUUCGCAUGGGGGUUGGUGGAAAGGUUUUUUCUGGUGGGGGAUGGGCUCGCGGCCUAUCAGCUUGUUGGUGGGGUGAUGGCCUACCAAGGCUUUGACGGGUAGCCGGCCUGAGAGGGUGACCGGUCACAUUGGGACUGAGAUACGGCCCAGACUCCUACGGGAGGCAGCAGUGGGGAAUAUUGCACAAUGGGCGAAAGCCUGAUGCAGCGACGCCGCGUGAGGGAUGGAGGCCUUCGGGUUGUAAACCUCUUUCGCUCAUGGUCAAGCCGCAACAUUGGUUGUGGUGAGGGUAGUGGGUAAAGAAGCGCCGGCUAACUACGU
Molecule: ribosomal RNA, 482 nt
Filed under: Actinomyces sp. 'ARUP UnID 49'
Lineage: Bacteria; Bacillati; Actinomycetota; Actinomycetes; Actinomycetales; Actinomycetaceae
Description: bacterial SSU rRNA
Rfam family: Bacterial small subunit ribosomal RNA
Source: RNAcentral